RNAcentral lists this ribosomal RNA (390 nucleotides) under uncultured bacterium. RNAcentral describes it as "bacterial SSU rRNA". It matches the Rfam family "Bacterial small subunit ribosomal RNA", at positions 419 to 793 of the family's 1533-position model. The record is from RNAcentral.
CGGGUUGUAAAGCACUUUCAGUAGGGAGGAAGGUAGUGUAGUUAACACCUGCAUUAUUUGACGUUACCUACAGAAGAAGCACCGGCUAACUCCGUGCCAGCAGCCGCGGUAAUACGGAGGGUGCGAGCGUUAAUCGGAAUUACUGGGCGUAAAGCGCAUGCAGGCGGCCUGUUAAGUCAGAUGUGAAAGACCCGGGGCGUUAACCUCGGAAUUGCAUUUGAAACUAGGCAGGCUAGAGUCUUGUAGAGGGGGGUAGGAAGUUUCUAGGUGUAGCGGUGAAAUAGCGUAGAGAUCUGAAGGAAUACCAGUGGCGAAGGCGGCCCCCUCGGACAAAGACUGACGCUCAGAUGCGAAAGCGUGGGGAGCAAACAGGAUUAGAUACCCUGGUAG